This 225-nucleotide ribosomal RNA is filed under the name Hansenia forbesii. RNAcentral's name for it is "4.5S ribosomal RNA". The record is from RNAcentral. Lineage: Eukaryota; Viridiplantae; Streptophyta; Magnoliopsida; Apiales; Apiaceae. RNAcentral also lists the same sequence under 5 other names.
GAAGGUCACGGCGAGACGAGCCGUUUAUCAUUACGAUAGGUGUCAAGUGGAAGUGCAGUGAUGUAUGCAGCUGAGGCAUCCUAACAGACCGGUAGACUUGAACCUUGUUCCUACAUGACCCGAUCAAUUCGAUCAGGCACUCGCCGUCUAUUUUCAUUGUUCAACUCUUUGACAACACGAAAAAACCAUUGUUCAACUCUUUGACAACAUGAAAAAACCAAAAGC